Long non-coding RNA from Etheostoma spectabile (orangethroat darter), 88 nucleotides. RefSeq lists it as uncharacterized. Lineage: Eukaryota; Metazoa; Chordata; Actinopteri; Perciformes; Percidae. The record is from RefSeq and is a predicted model, not a curated record. The transcript is spliced from 3 exons.
GCUUGUGAUUUUCCUGAGACUGUUGCCACAGACACCCAGUUUGUAAUACUGCAAAUGCAAGGGCUUUCAUCAUAGGCUCAAUCAUCAU